This is a non-coding RNA of Lonchura striata (white-rumped munia), 280 nucleotides long. NCBI's taxonomy places the organism in Eukaryota, Metazoa, Chordata, Aves, Passeriformes, Estrildidae. The record is from RefSeq and is a predicted model, not a curated record.
AAUCAUGCUGUCUGCCUUGCAGCUACAAAAUCCUGUUAGCACAGGCUCAGAAGAGAUGCAGAGGAGAUCAGCCCAGGUCAAGAAAUGAAACAUGAUGAUGUGGUUUUGAAACAAUUAUUCCAGAGGACCAUACACCUUUGCAUCUGGAUUUGCAGAUGUCUUUGGCCAAGUUAGAUGAUGAGAGCAGCUGGACAUGCCCUGCAGGUACUGUGGCCCCUGGAGAGCUGUCACUGGAGCAGAUUUGUUUGAACAAGAGGAGGAAUAGGGAGGGUCCUUAAUC